RNAcentral lists this ribosomal RNA (439 nucleotides) under uncultured bacterium. Its description in RNAcentral is "partial 16S ribosomal RNA". It matches the Rfam family "Bacterial small subunit ribosomal RNA", at positions 339 to 795 of the family's 1533-position model. The record is from RNAcentral.
CUACGGGGUGCUGCAGUGAGGAAUAUUGCACAAUGGGGGGAACCCUGAUGCAGCAACGCCGCGUGGAGGAUGACGCAUUUCGGUGUGUAAACUCCUUUUAUAUGUCAAGAAAAUGACGGUAGCAUAUGAAUAAGCACCGGCUAACUCCGUGCCAGCAGCCGCGGUAAUACGGAGGGUGCAAGCGUUACUCGGAAUCACUGGGCGUAAAGGACGCGUAGGCGGGUUGGAAAGUCAGGUGUGAAAUCCUACAGCUUAACUGUAGAACUGCACUUGAAACUUCUAAUCUAGAGUAUGGGAGGGGGGGAUGGAAUUAGUGGUGUGGGGGUAAAAUCCGUAGAUAUCACUAGGAAUACCUAAAGCGAAGGCGAUCUCCUGGAACAUUACUGACGCUAAGGCGUGAAAGCGUGGGGAGCAAACAGGAUUAGAUACCCGCGUAGUC